Molecule: long non-coding RNA, 311 nt
Organism: Sitophilus oryzae (rice weevil)
Lineage: Eukaryota; Metazoa; Arthropoda; Insecta; Coleoptera; Curculionidae
Exons: 3
Source: RefSeq, a predicted model, not a curated record
GCGCAUCUUCAAAAGCAGCAUGGAGUUAUGAUAUCAUUCUACUCGAUUUUCUCCUAUUUCAGAUUUUUAGAUUUAUAUUGACGAAUAUCAAAAUUCCAAUGAUGUGAAUUAUGUGUAAAAUAGAGGAAAGAUACUUAAUGGAGAUUACGAAGUAAGACAUUUUGGACAAUUGGACAUGACAAAGAAUUAAGAAGCACGGCAAUAAAGGUAGAAAAAAAUAGGGCUAGAGAAGCAUCAGUCUAGUGUUGAGUAUAUCGGAAGCCCCAAAAUUAGAUGGAUCCUAUAAUAAUGGAUAUUAAGGACAUAAUUUG